GACGAACGCUGGCGGCGUGCUUAACACAUGCAAGUCGAACGGAAAGGCCCUGCUUUUGUGGGGUGCUCGAGUGGCGAACGGGUGAGUAACACGUGAGUAACCUGCCCUUGACUUUGGGAUAACUUCAGGAAACUGGGGCUAAUACCGGAUAGGAGCUCCUGCUGCAUGGUGGGGGUUGGAAAGUUUCGGCGGUUGGGGAUGGACUCGCGGCUUAUCAGCUUGUUGGUGGGGUAGUGGCUUACCAAGGCUUUGACGGGUAGCCGGCCUGAGAGGGUGACCGGCCACAUUGGAACGGGGAUACGGCCCAGACUCCUACGGGAGGCAGCAGUGGGGAAUAUUGCACAAUGGGCGGAAGCCUGAUGCAGCACGCCGCGUGCGGGAUGACGGCCUUCGGGUUGUAAACCGCUUUCGCCUGUGACGAAGCGUGAGUGACGGUAAUGGGUAAAGAAGCACCGGCUAACUACGUG
This 467-nucleotide ribosomal RNA is filed under the name uncultured bacterium. RNAcentral's name for it is "partial 16S ribosomal RNA". It matches the Rfam family "Bacterial small subunit ribosomal RNA", at positions 28 to 507 of the family's 1533-position model. The record is from RNAcentral.